Long non-coding RNA from Oncorhynchus tshawytscha (Chinook salmon), 4373 nucleotides. The record is from Ensembl. Lineage: Eukaryota; Metazoa; Chordata; Actinopteri; Salmoniformes; Salmonidae.
UGGUGCCAAUGGUGUGAGUUAGUGAGAUCUUGGAGAUUUCUUCUUCAAUCUUGGAGAAUGACUAUUACUGAAAAUGAACAUUUCUCCGUCUCAUCAUUUCACUCUAUUAAUUCAGGUAUAUAAUGUGCAAAGUGCCAUGUGACUCAAAAUAUUGAGGUAACAUGGUUAAUUAGAUUGACCAUGAGUUUGGUGAUGUUUGAAGGCAAUUGAAGGGAGUUUUCACAGAGUGAAAAACUGGUUGGUAUUUUUCCCAUUGUAAGUAAAUGUGCUUUGCGAAGUUGCUAAUGGUUCACAUGUAAGAGAAAGGAUUAAGAUGGCGUCUGAACGUUCUGUACUUUUUUUUUCACAAAAGUUUAUUUUCUAUGAACAAAGGCUCAGUUUACUUGAGGUAUUAUGUAAAUAUGUGAUGAGACGAUAAAAUGUGUUAGUGUCAAUAUUAGUACAAGAAUAAGAGUUUAACAGUUCGCUAGCUUGAUGCUAACCAAAUUGAGCGUGGCUAAGUGUUGGUUAGCUCUAGGCUAGUUGGUGUCAGUGAAUGUCAGCGGUUAAUAAUGUAAUGGUUGUAGCAUUGUUUUGCAUAGGCCUCCAAUAAUUUAGCGUUUGUUUUUGAAAUUGACACUUGAGUACAAUAUAUCAUGUGUAGCUGUAUGGUGACUCCAGGUUUGGAUGUACGGACCAAUGGGACUGCCACGGGUACCUGGAAUGGUGGGAGGACAAUCUGAAGGUAAUUAUCGUUGCACACAACGGUAGCGUCCAGGCCUCCAGAGUUCUCACCUUAUCGCCUGAUGUACGGACAGGAGCCACAGCUGUUUACUGAGGUAGACAAUGCAAUUGUAUAUACAAUUAUUGCAUAUACUGUAGUAUAAAAAUUGUGUGAUUGACUUAGCUCUAGUGAUUUUUUUUCUAUUGCUAUUUUUGUAUAACGUACUUUGAGGUCACUGAAACUCCACCUGAUGUGAUAGAAGUUGUCAAACCAGAUCAGAACACCUUCGAGGACCACCUUCAGGCACGGGAUGUGGAGAUUUUUGACCAGGUGAGACUGUACAUGGACAAGGCACAGGAGAAACAGAAGGAAAGCCACCAGAUGAGAAUCAAGGGGACCAAGUGCUUCGACAUCCGGGCGAAUGACUUGGCUUGGAAGAAGGACAAAAGGAAGGCGAGACCUGGGAAACCUUGCUGCUCUUUCGCUUCUGGCUGGGGUCCCCAUCUGUUAAGGUAAAUAUAAAAAUCUGAUAAUCAGAUGAUAACUAUUUGCAUUUGCCUUCUCGUAUUGGGUGGCAUCGCCAUACUGUCAGAAGUACCAAAACUGGCCCAGGGGUUUCUCCAAAUAGUCCAUCUCAAGGCUAACCACUGGGUCACGUUAAGUAACCGCCACUUCCAGGUGGCUUCCUUUCUAUCCUUUCUUUUGUCUGCCAUUUAACAUUAUUGCAUAUUUAAUCAAACAUUUACAUUUUUUUAUUUUUUUAUUUCACCUUUAUUUAACCAGGUAGGCUAGUUGAGAACAAGUUCUCAUUUGCAACUGCGACCUGCCCAAGAUAAAGCAUAGCAGUGUGAACAGACAACACAGAGUUACACAUGGAGUAAACAUGUCAUUCAAUAACUGUAUUUUUACAUACAGUACCUGAUAAACCUGCAACCUGUGUGUUUGCUUGUUAACGUCUGUCUCCUACCCUGUUCCCUUCACUCUGCUCCUUUUCUCCAGGACCUAGGGGUUCUGCCUAAAACCCAGACAUGGAUCCACUUGAUCCUCCUUUACCAACCACCCUCCAACUUUUCAUUGCAUCAGCUACUCUUAUUGUCAUGUGGUCAUUAUCUGCUAAGAAAGAGCAAGAAAAUGAUCUUACUGGGCACAUAAUGUGAGAUGCACAGAUAAGCUAAAAACACUAGCACUGCAAACACUCAGAACAAAGAGAGCAGCAGCGCCUGGACUUUGCAGUUUCCCUCUUCGAGUCCCCCUUCCGAGACUGACUGCCUGUUGAAAACAAGUGACAGGCUGAAUCUCCCAUCCACACAGCACCCACCUCCUCUCCAUUCCACACGCCAGAAUUCAGUAUUUCAGUCUGAUUGCCAUGUGAGUGUACAAAAAAAUCUGUGAAUGUAAACGGACACACGUACCAAAAAAAUAUACAUCUUUUUUUAUUUAAAUUUAAAAUAUUGCCAGCUUGGUAUUCACAGGUGUUUCAUGAGGUGUUUAUUAUUGUUAUUUGUUAGCUCAAUAUUAUUCAUUGUUGUAGCUAUGAUUUGUAAAAAAUAAAAUCAUAAUAUUAUUUCUGUGUAGAUAAGGGAAGGCCUGUUUUAAAGUGAAAACAUCCCAGACAGACAAACCAGUGUAUGAAUCAAAUGUAUUUGCAUAUAAAUGGAGUGGAAAGUGGAUGACUUUGUGAUCAGCAAGGUAAGAAACAAUGUGUGGAGGGGUUCAUUAAAAUAUACAUGUUUUUUUUUUACCCCAAUGUCUAUUUAUUCAUAAAAAGCAGAAGAUGGCAAGUAACAUUAAUAGGAAUACAUUAGCCUGAUCGGUAACAAAUAUGACGUGGGGAAAAGUCAGGGCCCUCAUUUAUUAACGUUGUGUACGAAUAGAAAUGUUCGUAAACCAUGCGUGCGAUCAUUUCUAAGCAAAGUGGGAUAUAUCCAUUUGUACUUAUACUUGAAUGUGUGUAAAAAUUUAAGCGGACCUCUGACCAUGUGGUAGAAAAGUCAAACUGCUAAUGAAAUGCCAUCCACCAAAUGGAGAAAGGAUUGACAUACUGGACCCAAAUCAUAAACUAUGACGAAAAAAGUUAAUACAUGAAUAGUUUCUUUUUCUUUUAUAGACACUUAAGCUACUAAUAGUUUUCUUAGGGUGCUAUCGAAUAUAUAAACAUGAAACCAUUUAAGCCUAAUUGAAUAAAGUUCAUUAGAAAGAGUGGAAUGUAAGGUUGGAGGCAAUUUAGUUAAACCAGUUAAAUAAUAUAAAAGGCAACACUGAGGCAUUGUGACUUGUCCAAAAUGGCAAAUAUUGCAUUGCUGGAGGAUCUGGCACAAGCCCCAUUAUGCAGGGAGUGUAUUUUCAAUGCGCAUGCAGAUUUUUUUUGCUGAGUGCGACGCUUGACCUAUUAGAUUUCGUUUUCAAGGCAUAUUUUAUUGUGUCUCUGUAACCAACUCUAACCAGUAUUAGAAAGGGAGACGAAACGCCCCAGUGCAUACCAACGUCUUCUCCCUGGGAGUUUUAGCCACUGGAACAUUCUAACGGCAGAAUGCAGAUCGGUCAGGCAUUUUAAAACCAACCAGGAGCCGAAUAUUGCCUGCAGUCCUCAUGGCAUUAUUUAAUUGAUCCCACAAUACAUACAGUUUCCGUGCAACAGGCCAGAGUGAAAAGGAUUUCCAUAGCUGGAUUUCCCAAUGUCAUUGGAGAAAUUGACUGCAACCACAUCACAAUAAAAGCACCACUGAACAAAUUCAACUUCGUCAAAACUAAAGGUUUCCAUUCUGUCAAUGUGCAGGUCGUCUGUGAUUCACAUUUGGCUUUGUUGAAUGUAGUGGCCAAACGGCCAGGUGGGGGACAAUUAAUUCAUUGUGCAAAACAGUUCAGUUGGCCUUCACCUCCAGGAAGGAGCUGUUGAGGAUGGAUGGCUUAUUGGUAAGCAACACAUUUCAUUUGCAAGGUUUCAUUUGCCAUGUUAGACCUCUACUGGGAAACUAAAUGUUGUGUUCAUAACUGCAGGAGACCGGGGCUACCAAAUUAAAACAUGGCUGAUGACUCCUCUCAAACCAAUGUACAAUCAAGCCCACGCAUGCAUAAGAACAGUGGAGCGCACCAUAGGCCUGCUGAAAUGGCGUUGGCUGUUCUUGUCUGGGACAGCAAUACCAGCCUAGCAAGGCUUUCCUCAAAUGACAUUCUUUCAAAUGCCAUUAUGUGAAUGUAAUACAAUGUGAAAAUUCCUUUUUAGGUUUGCUACAUUGUCAAGGCUUGCAGUGUGCUCAACAAGAGUCAAUAUCAUACGGUUUUAGGUAUGUUCUUCCAAAUAUAAUCAAAUCGACAAGGAAAACGCGUUUACAUUGCACCAGAAUUUGUCUCACAUGUUUGACACAAACAAGUUAUUUCAAUUAUUGUUUCUUUCUCCAGCAGUUGCGAACAUCCACCAGUUGCUGUUUGAAUCUGAGAAUUGAUGUGUUGAUCUCUUCUUGUUGUUUCAGGACUGCGUCAGCCAAAGCAGCUGAAGCGCUCACCAACGAGGACACCCUUGUAGCCCUGGAAAUGGCUGAGGGGUCAGGCAAAUCAGCCACCUCUGUGAAGACUUCAUGUUUUGUUAUAUUUAUUUUGUUACAUAUAACAAAUAUGUAGAUGUGGCCCAUGUCUGAAUAUGGUUGCAAAAAUAAAGCUUGACUUACCAUCA